Molecule: long non-coding RNA, 216 nt
Filed under: Homo sapiens (human)
Lineage: Eukaryota; Metazoa; Chordata; Mammalia; Primates; Hominidae
Description: HSALNT0402751
Source: RNAcentral
GUUGAAGAGAUACCAUUUGAUAUUUUAGAGAUGCCUGCAUGCAAACUCUUAAAACAUUUGACCAUAGGAGUUUUAGCCAAUUCAGAGGCCUUGCUCCCCACAAUUUGGAACAUUCCUUUGGAUUUGACCAAGUCAGGAAGAGAUGGGAGAAAAGUGAAACAACAACAAUAAAACCCCAAGCAUAAACAAACAAAAAGAGUUAAGCAAAACAACAAC